Monodelphis domestica (gray short-tailed opossum) is the source of this 416-nucleotide long non-coding RNA. RefSeq lists it as uncharacterized. The record is from RefSeq and is a predicted model, not a curated record. NCBI's taxonomy places the organism in Eukaryota, Metazoa, Chordata, Mammalia, Didelphimorphia, Didelphidae.
GCAAUUCAUAUUAUUCAUGUGAGAGAUUGCAAAUUGGCAGAGAACUCACAGAGUUAUGAUGUCAGAGCUGGAAGAGAACUUAGAAAUCAUUCUAGAAAUCUCCUCAACCUAUUCUCAAAGAAACCAGGAAGCAGAGAGGCUCUAUGUGACUCACUUAAGGGAAAGAUGUCCUAAAAGUGACUUCAGACUUUAUAACUAAUGUACGACACCUACCAGCUCUCCAUUUGUCUAACAAGAUUUACCAGAACUUAAGAUCUGAUUCUUAAACAUUUACCAACACAUCCUGAUUGUAUUCUAUGGCAUCUGAUGGACAGAAGUCAUAGGAUAUCCAUCUCCAAAGAACUGAAACUAAGAAUUUUGCAAAAGGCAACAGAAAGUUAAUGGCAGAUGUGAAUAGGCAACAGUGGAUUAUAAAC